UGCCCAAGAUACUUGUAAUUGCCAACUCUUGUUUUAAAGUUUAUUAUACAAGAGUGUGCGUAUAUAUAUAUAUAUAUAUAUAGUUGGUGCCAAUUAGUCAAUUACUUAUCCACUAAUUUCUUUGCACUGUAGCACUUUCCAUCAAUAAUGUAUGAGUAUUUCAAAAACAUAUGCUCACCUCACAUAUCGAUUAUCUCAAAAUCAACAAUGUUAUCAUUUUUUUCCUCUAGGAUUGAUCCAACUGAGAAAGGAACCCUGAUUCAUGUGUCUUUGUAGCUGUGAAGCAGAGCAUGGCCCAAGGGAAUCCAACUACAGUUCCUGGUGCUCACCAAAAGUAAGCAGGCAUGUGGAGCAAGGGGAUGGGCACUGCCAUGGGAAGGACUACUUUUGGUUUACUAGAACAAAACAACAUUAAUCCACACGCUUGGGAUUGUGUAAGAACCCCUACCAACCCAUCCCCACCCAACCCCACCUCCCUAUUCAGCUCACUCCCAGUUCUCCCCAUCCCAUGCCCAAAGCCCAAGAAUCAAUAUCAUCAUCAGCAUCACCUACGAAAAGAACAAAAAAUACAACAAUCUGGAAGAUGAAUCUCACACUAGACUCUACUUCAUCACCUCACAGGAGUAUUAAUACAGUACUGAAACCCUUGAGUUAGUCCCCUUGUUAAUGAUGCGCCUAGACUGCAAAAGUUGUAGCAGCAGCUGCUGCAGUAGUGCUGUAGCUUGGCUGGAAGAGUAGCUUGCUGGGAUUCCACACCCGGUGGGACAGCCGUCGGCCUGAAGUAGUAUCAUGUCCUUGCACGAGAACAAGCAGGCGGUAAGACUGGCCAAUGCGGAGGCAGCAGGAUUAGGAGGGUUGAGACUCCUAGAGCAAGUGGAUCAUCAUGAGCGUUGCAGCGGGGCCUUGCUGCGGCACACGUGGUAAAGGACCCUGCAAGUUUAUUAUGUCAGCAUCGGGAAGAAAGAGAGAGAGAAAGAAAGAUUCAAGACGAUGGAGUGGUGCACAGUGGACUGAGCUCAGUGCUGGGGAGAUUGGUUGCUCGAUUGCUGGGACCAUGCCAUCCAUUCUUGGAAAGAACAUCCAAUUAUUUGACUGUGCACUCGGAGCUAGAAGAUUAGAGGUUCGUAGUCUGCGACAGAUUGAUACUAACUAGAUACGAGUUACGAGCUUCGCAAACCGUGCAUGGUACGCAAAGAGCAUGCAAAAGCUGGCCCCGCAGCGGUCACAACCAAGGUCACUUAGAAAUUGAAUGCGGUGGAAAACUCUGGAGCGAUACAGUUGAGUUGUGGUCACUUACCGCCAACCGGCUUUUGAACUCAUAGGGCGCCAUGUUGGUCGUGGUAAGAUCUCAUAUUUGGAUCGACUAAAGCAACAGAAGGAUAAUACCUUGCAAGAGGUGACUCUCGCAGCAAACACAAGCUAAGCUUCAUCGUUGCUAUGCAUUUCUGUUUGUCGAACAAGCAACACUAGACAUCACAAGGAAGAAG
This 1487-nucleotide long non-coding RNA is filed under the name Physcomitrium patens. Its description in RNAcentral is "long non-coding RNA (PPAT_LNC013685)". The record is from RNAcentral. Lineage: Eukaryota; Viridiplantae; Streptophyta; Bryopsida; Funariales; Funariaceae.